RNAcentral lists this transfer RNA (77 nucleotides) under compost metagenome. RNAcentral describes it as "tRNA-Met". It matches the Rfam family "tRNA". From Rfam's summary of the family: Transfer RNA (tRNA) molecules are approximately 80 nucleotides in length. Their secondary structure includes four short double-helical elements and three loops (D, anti-codon, and T loops). The record is from RNAcentral.
GGCUGAAUGUGGGACUUGGUAAUCCAGCAAUCUUCAUACGAUUGAGCAUGAGAGUUCGAACCUCUCUUCCGCCACCA